CUAAUUGACAUGCUCCUCAUUACCACCAACCCUUAUGAUUUCCACUAUGUGAGUCAAGGUGAGGUCACUGUUCCCAGUAUUGAUGACCAGGAAGAGCUCAUGGCUACACAUAGUGCCAUUGACAUCCUGGGCUUCACUGCUGAUGAAAAGACUGCCAUCUACAAGCUGACAGGGGCUGUCAUUCCCUAUGGGGAACUUGAAGUUCAAGCAGAAACAACGAGAGGAGCAGGCAGAGCCAGAUGGCACAGAAGUGGCUGACAAGGCUGCCUACCUGAUGGGUCUGAACUCAGCUGAAUUGCUCAAAGCCCUGUGUUAUCCCCGAGUCAAGGUUGGGAAUGAAUAUGUGACCAAAGGUCAAACUGUGGAACAGGUGAACAAUGCAGUUGGUGCCCUGGCAAAAGCUGUCUAUGAAAAGAUGUUCUUGUGGAUGGUUGUUCGCAUCAACCAACAGCUGGAUACCAAGCAACCCCGACAGUACUUCAUUGGUGUCCUGGACAUUGCUGGCUUUGAGAUCUUUGAUUUCAACAGCUUUGAGCAGCUGUGCAUCAACUUCACCAAUGAGAAACUGCAACAGUUCUUCAAUCACCACAUGUUCGUGCUGGAGCAGGAGGAGUACAAGAAGGAAGGAAUUGAAUGGGAGUUCAUUGACUUUGGGAUGGACCUGGCUGCUUGCAUUGAGCUCAUUGAGAAGCCCAUGGGCAUCUUCUCCAUCCUGGAAGAGGAGUGCAUGUUCCCCAAGGCAACUGACACCUCUUUCAAGAACAAGCUCUAUGACCAGCAUCUGGGAAAGUCCAGCAACUUCCAGAAGCCCAAGCCUGGCAAAGGCAAAGCUGAGGCUCACUUCUCCCUGGUGCACUAUGCUGGCACCGUGGACUACAACAUCUCUGGCUGGCUUGAGAAGAACAAGGACCCCUUGAACGAAACUGUCAUUGGGUUGUACCAGAAAUCAUCCGUGAAGACACUGGCUUUACUCUUUGCCACCUAUGGUGGGGAAGCAGAGGCUGGUGGUGGCAAGAAGGGUGGCAAGAAGAAGGGUUCUUCUUUCCAGACUGUCUCAGCUCUUUUCCGGGAGAAUUUAAACAAGCUGAUGGCUAACCUGAGAAGCACUCAUCCGCAUUUUGUACGAUGCAUCAUCCCAAAUGAAACAAAAACACCUGGUGCCAUGGAGCAUGAGCUGGUGCUGCAUCAGCUGCGGUGCAAUGGUGUGCUGGAAGGGAUCAGAAUUUGCAGGAAAGGAUUCCCCAGCAGAGUCCUGUAUGCUGACUUCAAACAAAGAUACAGAGUGCUUAAUGCAAGUGCUAUCCCAGAGGGACAGUUCAUGGACAGCAAGAAGGCUUCAGAAAAGCUCCUUGGGUCCAUUGAUGUGGACCACACCCAAUACAGAUUUGGUCACACCAAGGUGUUCUUCAAAGCUGGGCUGUUGGGACUCCUGGAGGAGAUGAGAGAUGACAAGCUGGCAGAAAUCAUCACUCGCACACAAGCCAGGUGCAGGGGCUUCCUGAUGAGAGUGGAGUAUCAAAGAAUGGUGGAGAGGAGGGAAUCCAUCUUCUGUAUCCAGUACAAUGUUCGUGCAUUCAUGAAUGUCAAGCACUGGCCCUGGAUGAAGCUAUUCUUCAAGAUCAAGCCCUUGCUGAAGAGUGCAGAAUCAGAGAAGGAGAUGGCCAACAUGAAGGAAGAAUUUGAGAAAACCAAGGAAGAGCUUGCAAAGUCCGAGGCAAAGAGGAAGGAGCUGGAGGAGAAAAUGGUGGCCCUGUUGCAGGAGAAAAAUGACCUGCAGCUCCAAGUACAGGCGGAAGCAGAUAGCUUGGCUGAUGCUGAGGAAAGGUGUGACCAGCUCAUCAAAACCAAAAUCCAGCUGGAAGCCAAAAUUAAGGAGGUGACGGAAAGGGCUGAGGAUGAGGAAGAAAUUAAUGCCGAGCUGACAGCCAAGAAGAGAAAACUGGAGGAUGAAUGUUCAGAGCUGAAGAAAGAUAUUGAUGACCUCGAGUUAACGUUGGCCAAAGUGGAGAAGGAAAAACAUGCCACUGAAAACAAGGUCAAAAACCUCACAGAGGAGAUGGCA
This is an RNA transcript of Fulmarus glacialis (Northern fulmar), 2062 nucleotides long. It is a transcript of the gene named myosin heavy chain, skeletal muscle, adult-like, with no coding region annotated. NCBI's taxonomy places the organism in Eukaryota, Metazoa, Chordata, Aves, Procellariiformes, Procellariidae. The record is from RefSeq and is a predicted model, not a curated record. The transcript is spliced from 15 exons.